GUCCACGCCCUAAACGAUGCGAACUGGAUGUUGGUCUCAACUCGGAGAUCAGUGUCGAAGCUAACGCGUUAAGUUCGCCGCCUGGGGAGUACGGUCGCAAGACUGAAACUCAAAGGAAUUGACGGGGGCCCGCACAAGCGGUGGAGUAUGUGGUUUAAUUCGAUGCAACGCGAAGAACCUUACCUGGCCUUGACAUGUCCGGAAUCCUGCAGAGAUGCGGGAGUGCCUUCGGGAAUCGGAACACAGGUGCUGCAUGGCUGUCGU
Molecule: ribosomal RNA, 264 nt
Filed under: uncultured bacterium
Lineage: Bacteria
Description: partial 16S ribosomal RNA
Rfam family: Bacterial small subunit ribosomal RNA
Source: RNAcentral